GGGCCAGUAGCUCAGGUGGUAAGAGCACAGACCUUAUAAGUCUGGGGUCGAUGGUUCAAGUCCAUCCUGGCCCACCU
Molecule: transfer RNA, 77 nt
Filed under: Candidatus Kerfeldbacteria bacterium
Lineage: Bacteria; Candidatus Kerfeldiibacteriota
Description: tRNA-Ile
Rfam family: tRNA
About the family: Transfer RNA (tRNA) molecules are approximately 80 nucleotides in length. Their secondary structure includes four short double-helical elements and three loops (D, anti-codon, and T loops). Further hydrogen bonds mediate the characteristic L-shaped molecular structure. tRNAs have two regions of fundamental functional importance: the anti-codon, which is responsible for specific mRNA codon recognition, and the 3' end, to which the tRNAs corresponding amino acid is attached (by aminoacyl-tRNA synthetases). tRNAs cope with the degeneracy of the genetic code in two manners: having more than one tRNA (with a specific anti-codon) for a particular amino acid; and 'wobble' base-pairing, i.e. permitting non-standard base-pairing at the 3rd anti-codon position.
Source: RNAcentral